CGUGUGUGUAGGAAAUAACGUCACAUGUUUAUAGGCUUUUGCAGGUCUAUCUAAUAUCUGGACAUCUUGAUGAUUUCCAACGUCCAUGAUUCCAGUACAAAAUUAUAUCGAGAAGAAAACCAUUUCGUCCCCAAUUUUUUCCCAGUUUCAGUCAGCUGCAGAUGUUUUUAGAUCGAUGAAUUGGUAGAGCUUGAGAGGGAUUUUGACGAAUUUAAGAAUGAGGUUGAGUUGGCUUAAGAUUAGGCAGCAAAAUCAAAUGUGUUUCUGAUGGAGAUGGGUUUUAAAUCUGUUGCUGUGGUCGGGAAUCGCUUAAGAGACUCAAGGGUUGAGAGAUCAAAGAAGGAAUAUAGGAUCGGAUUAGGGUUUUGCAGCGAUGUUGGAGCUGUUACUGCCAUGGGUGUUACUGCCAAGGAAGAGAUUGUUUGAUGGGGGUUUGAAGCAACAAACUGAUGUGAAGAAAUUGAGUUUAAGAGGGUUUCCUGUUGAUUCUGAGUGAAUGAAUAAUGGAAGAAUUUGAUUGAUAGUGUGAAGAUUCUCCACUUAAAAGACUAGUGAUUUUUGGUUUGUCAGUUUUCUUCAAACCAGAUUAAUCAAAAAGGGUUUCAAUUGAGCUCAAGAAGAACUAUUUUUAGGGGGAUUCGGACUUCUUCUAAUUGGAUUGAGGAGAAAUCUGCUUAUGAUACACUUGAUAAGAAAGGGAUGCUAAUGAAGAGAAGAUAAAGUUUGCUUAAAGACACCUCACUAAAUUUUAUCAUCCUGAUGUAUAUAAUGGUAGCGGAACUCUUGAGGAAGGUGAAACAACUGAAACUCGAUUCAUAAAGAUAUAAGCUGCUUAUGAGUUGCUCAUAGAUGACAAGAGGCGCACACAAUAUGACAGGGAACACCGUGUUAAUCCUGUGAAGGCUUCACAAGCAUGGAUUGGCCCGUAAAGAAGGGAACAUCUUUUGAUCAGAGAGGUGAUAUGGCUGUCGCAGCUUGGGCCGAAUAGCAACCGCAUGAGUUGAAUGUUCAUGUACAGCGUCUAUCUCGUACAAAGUGCCACGUGUCAAAAAUGGUGAAGUGUACAUAGUCUACAUGGCAUAUUCGAGUCCAGGUGUACAGAGUCUAUGCGUGCUGACUUAGCCGGGUUAAAUCAGUGACACGGUCUUAAACUAACAAUUCAAAGGACUAUUCUAUCGUUUCAAGUCCACUUAACGGUGCUACUUUCCAUCCACCAAUUUUGGUCAAAUAAGACCUGGUUUCGUAAGAAAUAAAAAAAAACAGGGUUAGAUUUGUAAAUCAUAAAAGAAACAAAUCUAGAUUUGUAAAAAGCCCAAAAUUAAAUGUAUAUUCAUUAUGCCUAGAUUUUCGUUGCAACUAAUAAAAUGAUGUACUCUCUCC
Long non-coding RNA from Papaver somniferum (opium poppy), 1380 nucleotides. RefSeq lists it as uncharacterized. NCBI's taxonomy places the organism in Eukaryota, Viridiplantae, Streptophyta, Magnoliopsida, Ranunculales, Papaveraceae. The transcript has 6 exons. The record is from RefSeq and is a predicted model, not a curated record.